UUAGAGUUUGAUCAUGGCUCAGGAUGAACGCUGGCGGCGUGCUUAACACAUGCAAGUCGAACGGACUUAUAUUGAAACCUAGUGAAAUAUAAGUUAGUGGCGGACGGGUGAGUAACGCGUGGAUAACCUGCCGUAUACAGGGGGAUAACACUUAGAAAUAGGUGCUAAUACCGCAUAAGCGCACAGCUUCGCAUGAAGCAGUGUGAAAAACUGAGGUGGUAUACGAUGGUUCCGCGUCUGAUUAGCUAGUUGGUGGGGUAAUGGCCUACCAAGGCGACGAUCAGUAGCCGGCCUGAGAGGGUGAACGGCCACAUUGGGACUGAGACACGGCCCAAACUCCUACGGGAGGCAGCAGUGGGGAAUAUUGCACAAUGGGGGAAACCCUGAUGCAGCGACGCCGCGUGAGUGAAGAAGUAUUUCGGUAUGUAAAGCUCUAUCAGCAGGGAAGAAAAUGACGGUACCUGAUUAAGAAGCCCCGGCUAACUACGUGCCAGCAGCCGCGGUAAUACGUAGGGGGCAAGCGUUAUCCGGAUUUACUGGGUGUAAAGGGAGCGUAGACGGCAGCGCAAGUCUGAAGUGAAAUGCCGGGGCUUAACCCCGGAACUGCUUUGGAAACUGAGCAGCUAGAGUGCAGGAGAGGUAAGUGGAAUUCCUAGUGUAGCGGUGAAAUGCGUAGAUAUUAGGAGGAACACCAGUGGCGAAGGCGGCUUACUGGACUGUAACUGACGUUGAGGCUCGAAAGCGUGGGGAGCAAACAGGAUUAGAUACCCUGGUAGUCCACGCCGUAAAC
Molecule: ribosomal RNA, 790 nt
Filed under: uncultured bacterium
Lineage: Bacteria
Description: bacterial SSU rRNA
Rfam family: Bacterial small subunit ribosomal RNA
Source: RNAcentral